GCCUGUCGUUAGAGGUGGUCUUUGUACCUGAGAUUAAACUCUUCGAACCUGAACUAGAUAAUACUAGCGUAGGGAAACGGCAAGAAAAAUUG
Molecule: non-coding RNA, 92 nt
Filed under: Candidatus Zhuqueibacterota
Lineage: Bacteria; Pseudomonadati
Description: Candidate division TPP sequence
Rfam family: TPP riboswitch aptamer (THI element)
About the family: Vitamin B(1) in its active form thiamin pyrophosphate (TPP) is an essential coenzyme that is synthesised by coupling of pyrimidine and thiazole moieties in bacteria. The previously detected thiamin-regulatory element, thi box was extended, resulting in a new, highly conserved RNA secondary structure, the THI element, which is widely distributed in eubacteria and also occurs in some archaea.
Source: RNAcentral